GAUGAACGCNGGCGGCGUGCUUAACACAUGCAAGUCGAACGAGAAGUGGAGACGGAAACCUUCGGGCGGAAGACUUUACUUCGAGUGGCGGACGGGUGAGUAACGCGUGGGUAACCUGCCUCAUACAGGGGGAUAACAGUUGGAAACGACUGUUAAUACCGCAUAAGACCACAGCACCGCAUGGUGCGGGGGUAAAAACUCCGGUGGUAUGAGAUGGACCCGCGUUCGAUUAGCCAGUUGGCGGGGUAACGGCCCACCAAAGCGACGAUCGAUAGCCGAUCUGAGAGGAUGACCGGCCACAUUGGGACUGAGACACGGCCCAAACUCCUACGGGAGGCAGCAGUGGGGAAUAUUGCACAAUGGGGGAAACCCUGAUGCAGCGACGCCGCGUGAGUGAAGAAGUAUUUCGGUAUGUAAAGCUCUAUCAGCAGGGAAGAAAANGA
Molecule: ribosomal RNA, 443 nt
Filed under: uncultured bacterium
Lineage: Bacteria
Description: bacterial SSU rRNA
Rfam family: Bacterial small subunit ribosomal RNA
Source: RNAcentral